CCUACGGGUGGCAGCAGUGGGGAAUAUUGGACAAUGGGGGGAACCCUGAUCCAGCCAUGCCGCGUGUGUGAAGAAGGCCCUCGGGUUGUAAAGCACUUUCAGUGAGGAAGAACGCCUGGUGGUUAAUACCCAUCAGGAAAGACAUCACUCACAGAAGAAGCACCGGCUAACUCCGUGCCAGCAGCCGCGGUAAUACGGAGGGUGCGAGCGUUAAUCGGAAUUACUGGGCGUAAAGCGCGCGUAGGUGGCUUGAUAAGCCGGUUGUGAAAGCCCCGGGCUCAACCUGGGAACGGCAUCCGGAACUGUCAAGCUAGAGUGCAGGAGAGGAAGGUAGAAUUCCCGGUGUAGCGGUGAAAUGCGUAGAGAUCGGGAGGAAUACCAGUGGCGAAGGCGGCCUUCUGGACUGACACUGACACUGAGGUGCGAAAGCGUGGGUAGCAAACAGGAUUAGAUACCCUAGUAGAC
Molecule: ribosomal RNA, 465 nt
Filed under: Vreelandella stevensii
Lineage: Bacteria; Pseudomonadati; Pseudomonadota; Gammaproteobacteria; Oceanospirillales; Halomonadaceae
Description: partial 16S ribosomal RNA
Rfam family: Bacterial small subunit ribosomal RNA
Source: RNAcentral